Molecule: ribosomal RNA, 433 nt
Filed under: uncultured bacterium
Lineage: Bacteria
Description: partial 16S ribosomal RNA
Rfam family: Bacterial small subunit ribosomal RNA
Source: RNAcentral
AACGAACGCUGGCGGCAGGCCUAACACAUGCAAGUCGAGCGCACCCUUCGGGGUGAGCGGCGGACGGGUGAGUAACGCGUGGGAACGUGCCCUUCUCUGCGGAAUAGCCUCGGGAAACUGAGAGUAAUACCGCAUACGCCCUUUGGGGGAAAGAUUUAUCGGAGAAGGAUCUGCCCGCGUUGGAUUAGGUAGUUGGUGGGGUAAUGGCCCACCAAGCCGACGAUCCAUAGCUGGUUUGAGAGGAUGAUCAGCCACACUGGGACUGAGACACGGCCCAGACUCCUACGGGAGGCAGCAGUGGGGAAUCUUAGACAAUGGGGGCAACCCUGAUCUAGCCAUGCCGCGUGAGUGAUGAAGGCCUUAGGGUUGUAAAGCUCUUUCAGCUGGGAAGAUAAUGACGGUACCAGCAGAAGAAGCCCCGGCUAACUCCGUG